AACGAACGCUGGCGGCAUGCCUAACACAUGCAAGUCGAACGAGACCUUCGGGUCUAGUGGCGCACGGGUGCGUAACGCGUGGGAACCUGCCCUUAGGUUCGGAAUAACUCCCCGAAAGGGGUGCUAAUACCGGAUAAUGUCUUCGGACCAAAGAUUUAUCGCCUUUGGAUGGGCCCGCGUUGGAUUAGCUAGUUGGUAGGGUAAAAGCCUACCAAAGCGACGAUCCAUAGCUGGUCUGAGAGGAUGAUCAGCCACACUGGGACUGAGACACGGCCAAGACUCCUACGGGAGGCAGCAGUGGGGAAUAUUGGACAAUGGGCGAAAGACUGAUCCAGCAAUGCCGCGUGAGUGAUGAAGGCCUUAGGGUUGUAAAGCUCUUUUAACCGGGAUGAUAAUGACAGUACCGGGAGAAUAAGCACCGGCUAACUCCGUG
This 433-nucleotide ribosomal RNA is filed under the name uncultured bacterium. RNAcentral's name for it is "partial 16S ribosomal RNA". It matches the Rfam family "Bacterial small subunit ribosomal RNA", at positions 29 to 507 of the family's 1533-position model. The record is from RNAcentral.